The sequence is a ribosomal RNA, 633 nucleotides long. It matches the Rfam family "Bacterial small subunit ribosomal RNA", at positions 81 to 728 of the family's 1533-position model.
UGCUGGGUGGAUUAGUGGCGAACGGGUGAGUAACACGUGAGUAACCUGCCCUUAACUCUGGGAUAAGCCUGGGAAACUGGGUCUAAUACCGGAUAGGAGCGCCUACCGCAUGGUGGGUGUUGGAAAGAUUUAUCGGUUUUGGAUGGACUCGCGGCCUAUCAGCUUGUUGGUGAGGUAAUGGCUCACCAAGGCGACGACGGGUAGCCGGCCUGAGAGGGUGACCGGCCACACUGGGACUGAGACACGGCCCAGACUCCUACGGGAGGCAGCAGUGGGGAAUAUUGCACAAUGGGCGAAAGCCUGAUGCAGCGACGCCGCGUGAGGGAUGACGGCCUUCGGGUUGUAAACCUCUUUCAGUAGGGAAGAAGCGAAAGUGACGGUACCUGCAGAAGAAGCACCGGCUAACUACGUGCCAGCAGCCGCGGUAAUACGUAGGGUGCGAGCGUUAUCCGGAAUUAUUGGGCGUAAAGAGCUCGUAGGCGGUUUGUCGCGUCUGUCGUGAAAGUCCGGGGCUUAACCCCGGAUCUGCGGUGGGUACGGGCAGACUAGAGUGCAGUAGGGGAGACUGGAAUUCCUGGUGUAGCGGUGGAAUGCGCAGAUAUCAGGAGGAACACCGAUGGCGAAGGCAGGUCU